Molecule: transfer RNA, 71 nt
Filed under: Salmo salar (Atlantic salmon)
Lineage: Eukaryota; Metazoa; Chordata; Actinopteri; Salmoniformes; Salmonidae
Also listed under: 1 other name
Rfam family: tRNA
About the family: Transfer RNA (tRNA) molecules are approximately 80 nucleotides in length. Their secondary structure includes four short double-helical elements and three loops (D, anti-codon, and T loops). Further hydrogen bonds mediate the characteristic L-shaped molecular structure. tRNAs have two regions of fundamental functional importance: the anti-codon, which is responsible for specific mRNA codon recognition, and the 3' end, to which the tRNAs corresponding amino acid is attached (by aminoacyl-tRNA synthetases). tRNAs cope with the degeneracy of the genetic code in two manners: having more than one tRNA (with a specific anti-codon) for a particular amino acid; and 'wobble' base-pairing, i.e. permitting non-standard base-pairing at the 3rd anti-codon position.
Source: Rfam by way of RNAcentral
UCCCAUGUGGCUCAGUUGGUAGAGCAUGGCGCUUGAAAUGUCAUGGUUGUGGGUUCGGUUCCCAUGGGGAA